This 488-nucleotide ribosomal RNA is filed under the name uncultured bacterium. RNAcentral describes it as "bacterial SSU rRNA". It matches the Rfam family "Bacterial small subunit ribosomal RNA", at positions 28 to 508 of the family's 1533-position model. The record is from RNAcentral.
GAUGAACGCUAGCGGGAGGCUUAACACAUGCAAGUCGAGGGGCAGCAUAGGGUAGCAAUACUCUGAUGGCGACCGGCAAACGGGUGAGUAACGCGUAUGCAACCUACCCUGUACAGGGGGAUAACCCGGAGAAAUUCGGACUAAUAUCCCGUAAUAAUAUCCGGAGGCAUCUUUGGAUAUUUAAAGUUCCGACGGUACGGGAUGGGCAUGCGUAACAUUAGCUGGUUGGUAAGGUAACGGCUUACCAAGGCUAUGAUGUUUAGGGGUCCUGAGAGGGUGGUCCCCCACACUGGUACUGAGACACGGACCAGACUCCUACGGGAGGCAGCAGUGAGGAAUAUUGGUCAAUGGGCGCAAGCCUGAACCAGCCAUCCCGCGUGCAGGAAGACGGCCCUAUGGGUUGUAAACUGCUUUUCCAGGGAGAGAAACUUACGCACGUGUUGCGUGACUGACGGUACCCUGGGAAUAAGCAUCGGCUAACUCCGUGC